CGGGGACGCGGCGGACGGCUCAGGACAACGGUUGCACCCCCCGCGGCGGUCCCUGCUAGCCGGACACCGCUGGCAACCCGGCGCCAAGACGUGCGCGCAAGGGCGGGCGCCCGCGGGCGAGCAGCGUGACGCAG
This 134-nucleotide ribosomal RNA is filed under the name Giardia duodenalis. RNAcentral's name for it is "Giardia intestinalis partial small subunit ribosomal RNA". Lineage: Eukaryota; Fornicata; Diplomonadida; Hexamitidae. The record is from RNAcentral.